This 459-nucleotide ribosomal RNA is filed under the name Streptomyces sp. SID7958. Its description in RNAcentral is "partial 23S ribosomal RNA". It matches the Rfam family "Bacterial large subunit ribosomal RNA", at positions 2473 to 2925 of the family's 2925-position model. RNAcentral also lists the same sequence under 1 other name. The record is from RNAcentral. Lineage: Bacteria; Bacillati; Actinomycetota; Actinomycetes; Kitasatosporales; Streptomycetaceae.
GAUAACAGGCUGAUCUUCCCCAAGAGUCCAUAUCGACGGGAUGGUUUGGCACCUCGAUGUCGGCUCGUCGCAUCCUGGGGCUGGAGUCGGUCCCAAGGGUUGGGCUGUUCGCCCAUUAAAGCGGUACGCGAGCUGGGUUUAGAACGUCGUGAGACAGUUCGGUCCCUAUCCGCUGUGCGCGUAGGAGUCUUGAGAAGGGCUGUCCCUAGUACGAGAGGACCGGGACGGACGAACCUCUGGUGUGCCAGUUGUUCUGCCAAGGGCAUGGCUGGUUGGCUACGUUCGGGAGGGAUAACCGCUGAAAGCAUCUAAGCGGGAAGCCUGCUUCGAGAUGAGGGCUCCCACCCACUUGAUGGGGUAAGGCUCCCAGUAGACGACUGGGUUGAUAGGCCGGAUAUGGAAGCACGGUAACGUGUGGAGUUGACCGGUACUAAUAGGCCGAGGGCUUGUCCUCAGUUG